GGAGAGAUGGCAGAGUGGCUAAUUGCGUCGGUCUUGAAAACCGUUGAGGUUUUUUCCUCCGGGGGUUCGAAUCCCUCUCUCUCCG
Molecule: transfer RNA, 85 nt
Filed under: Blattabacterium sp. (Mastotermes darwiniensis) str. MADAR
Lineage: Bacteria; Pseudomonadati; Bacteroidota; Flavobacteriia; Flavobacteriales; Blattabacteriaceae
Also listed under: 1 other name
Description: tRNA-Ser (TGA) (tRNA-Ser-TGA-1-1)
Rfam family: tRNA
About the family: Transfer RNA (tRNA) molecules are approximately 80 nucleotides in length. Their secondary structure includes four short double-helical elements and three loops (D, anti-codon, and T loops).
Source: RNAcentral